UGGUACGUAGUUUGAUCAUGGCUACGAGGACGAACGCUGGCGGCGUGCCUAACACAUGCAAGUCGAACGGGGUGAUUCCUUCGGGAGAUCACUUAGUGGCGAACGGGUGAGUAACGCGUGAGAAACCUGCCUUUCAGUGGGGGACAACAGUUGGAAACGACUGCUAAUACCGCAUAACGUAUUUUUAGGGCAUCCUUUAAAUACCAAAGCUUUAUGUGCUGAAAGAUGGUCUCGCGUCUGAUUAGCUAGAUGGCGGGGUAACGGCCCACCAUGGCGACGAUCAGUAGCCGGUCUGAGGGGAUGAACGGCCACAUUGGGACUGAGAUACGGCCCAGACUCCUACGGGAGGCAGCAGUGGGGAAUAUUGGGCAAUGGGGGAAACCCUGACCCAGCAACGCCGCGUGAAGGAAGAAGGCCUUCGGGUUGUAAACUUCUUUUACCAGGGACGAAGAACGUGACGGUACCUGGAGAAAAAGCAACGGCUAACUACGUG
This 493-nucleotide ribosomal RNA is filed under the name uncultured bacterium. Its description in RNAcentral is "bacterial SSU rRNA". It matches the Rfam family "Bacterial small subunit ribosomal RNA", at positions 1 to 507 of the family's 1533-position model. The record is from RNAcentral.